AUUGAACGCUGGCGGCAUGCCUUACACAUGCAAGUCGAACGGCAGCACGGGAGCAAUCCUGGUGGCGAGUGGCGAACGGGUGAGUAAUAUAUCGGAACGUGCCCGGUCGUGGGGAUAACGUAGCGAAAGCUACGCUAAUACCGCAUACGAUCUACGGAUGAAAGCGGGGGAUCGCAAGACCUCGCGCGAUUGGAGCGGCCGAUAUCAGAUUAGGUAGUUGGUGAGGUAAAGGCUCACCAAGCCGACGAUCUGUAGCUGGUCUGAGAGGACGACCAGCCACACUGGGACUGAGACACGGCCCAGACUCCUACGGGAGGCAGCAGUGGGGAAUAUUGGGACAAUGGGCGAAAGCCUGAUCCAGCAAUGCCGCGUGAGUGAUGAAGGCCUCGG
This 390-nucleotide ribosomal RNA is filed under the name uncultured bacterium. Its description in RNAcentral is "bacterial SSU rRNA". It matches the Rfam family "Bacterial small subunit ribosomal RNA", at positions 29 to 420 of the family's 1533-position model. The record is from RNAcentral.